UACGGAGGGGGCGAGCGUUAUUCGGAAUUAUUGGGCGUAAAGGGCGCGUAGGCGGCUUGACAAGUCAAAGGUGAAAUCCCUCGGCUCAACUGAGGAACUGCCUUUGAAACUGUCUGGCUUGAGGCCGGGAGGGGGUAGCGGAAUUCCCAGUGUAGCGGUGAAAUGCGUAGAUACUGGGAGGAACACCAGUGGCGAAGGCGACUUACUGGACACAUAUUGACGCUGAGGUGCGAAAGCGUGGGGAGCAAACAGG
RNAcentral lists this ribosomal RNA (253 nucleotides) under uncultured bacterium. RNAcentral's name for it is "partial 16S ribosomal RNA". It matches the Rfam family "Bacterial small subunit ribosomal RNA", at positions 524 to 776 of the family's 1533-position model. The record is from RNAcentral.